GACGAACGCUGGCGGCGCGCUUAACACAUGCAAGUCGAACGGAAAGGCCUGCUUUCCCUUGUGGAUUGCGGGUACUCGAGUGGCGAACGGGUGAGUAACACGUGAGUGAUCUGCCCCCAACUUGGGUAUAAGCCUGGGAAACUGGGUCUAAUUCCCGAUAGGACUGCAGGGUGGUGCCUGUGGUGGAAAACGAUUUUCUAGUGGUUGGGGAUGAGCUCGCGGCCUAUCAGCUUGUUGGUGGGGUAAUGGCCUACCAAGGCGGCGACGGGUAGCCGGCCUGAGAGGGUGGACGGCCACAUUGGGACUGAGAUACGGCCCAGACUCCUACGGGAGGCAGCAGUGGGGAAUAUUGCACAAUGGGCGGAAGCCUGAUGCAGCGACGCCGCGUGGGGGAUGACGGCCUACGGGUUGUAAACUCCUUUCGACCGCGAGGAAGCCACCUGGUUGGAAGGGUGGUGACGGUAGUGGUAGAAGAAGCACCGGCUAACUACGUG
RNAcentral lists this ribosomal RNA (494 nucleotides) under uncultured bacterium. RNAcentral's name for it is "partial 16S ribosomal RNA". It matches the Rfam family "Bacterial small subunit ribosomal RNA", at positions 28 to 507 of the family's 1533-position model. The record is from RNAcentral.